UGAGUACGAGCGGCUACGGCCGCGAAGUGGAUGAUGUCAAGCUUCCAAGAAAAGCCCUAUACCCGUUAAGGCAUGAUGGCCUGUACCCGAAACCGACACAGGUGGGGUGGUAGAGAAUACCGAGGGGCGCGAGGUAACUCUCUCUAAGGAACUCGGCAAAAUGGCCCCGUAACUUCGGGAGAAGGGGUGCCACCGCGAGGUGGUCGCAGUGAAGAGGCCCAGGCGACUGUUUACCAAAAACACAGGUCUCCGCUAAGUCGCAAGACGAUGUAUGGGGGCUGACGCCUGCCCAGUGCCGGAAGGUUAAGGAAGCUGGUCAGCGCAAGCGAAGCUGGCGACUGAAGCCCCGGUGAACGGCGGCCGUAACUAUAACGGUCCUAAGGUAGCGAAAUUCCUUGUCGGGUAAGUUCCGACCCGCACGAAAGGCGUAACGAUCUGGGCGCUGUCUCGGAGAGAGGCUCGGCGAAAUAGAAUUGUCUGUGAAGAUGCGGACUACGUGCACCCGGACAGAAAGACCCUAUGAAGCUUUACUGUAGCUUGGUAUUGUGCUCGGGCUCGGAAUGCGCAGGAUAGGUGGGAGGCUUUGAUCCAUUGCUUGCGGGUGAUGGUGAGCCACUGGUGAGAUACCACUCUUUCCGAGCUAGAGUUCUAACAGCAACCCGUUAUCCGGGUGCUGGACAGUAUCAGGUGGGCAGUUUGACUGGGGCGGUCGCCUCCUAAAAGGUAACGGAGGCGCGCAAAGGUCUGCUCAGGCUGGUUGGAAAUCAGCCGACGAGUGUAAAAGCAGAAGCAGGCUUGACUGUGAGACCUACAAGUCGAACAGGGAGGAAACUCGGCUUUAGUGAUCCGACGGUUCUGCGUGGAAGGGCCGUCGCUCAACGGAUAAAAGUUACUCUAGGAUAACAGGCUGAUCUCCCCCAAGAGUUCACAUCGACGGGGAGGUUUGGCACCUCGAUGUCGGCUCAUCGCAACCUGGGGCUGAAGUCGGUCCCAAGGGUUGGGCUGUUCGCCCAUUAAAGCGGUACGCGAGCUGGGUUCAGAACGUCGUGAGACAGUUCGGUCCAUAUCCGGUGCACGCGCAGGAAUAUUGAGAGGAUUUCUCCCUAGUACGAGAGGACCGGGAGGAACGCACCUCUGGUGUGCCAGUUAUCGUGCCAACGGUAAACGCUGGGUAGCCAUGUGCGGAGUGGAUAACCGCUGAAAGCAUCUAAGUGGGAAGCCCACCUCAAGAUGAGUAUUCCCAUGGCAUAAGCCAGUAAGGUCACGGGAAGAACACCCGUUGAUAGGCUCUACGUGGAAGCGCAGUAAUGUGUGAAGCGGAGGAGUACUAAUAGACC
RNAcentral lists this ribosomal RNA (1337 nucleotides) under metagenome. RNAcentral's name for it is "bacterial LSU rRNA". It matches the Rfam family "Bacterial large subunit ribosomal RNA", at positions 1564 to 2910 of the family's 2925-position model. The record is from RNAcentral.